Camelus ferus (Wild Bactrian camel) is the source of this 72-nucleotide transfer RNA. It matches the Rfam family "tRNA". From Rfam's summary of the family: Transfer RNA (tRNA) molecules are approximately 80 nucleotides in length. Their secondary structure includes four short double-helical elements and three loops (D, anti-codon, and T loops). The record is from Rfam. Lineage: Eukaryota; Metazoa; Chordata; Mammalia; Artiodactyla; Camelidae.
GAGGGUAUAGCUCAGUGGUAGAAUUCAUGAUUAGCAUGCAUAAGGGCCUGGGUUCAAUCCCCAGUACCUCCA